This 92-nucleotide transfer RNA is filed under the name Kitasatospora indigofera. Its description in RNAcentral is "tRNA-Gly". The record is from RNAcentral. Lineage: Bacteria; Bacillati; Actinomycetota; Actinomycetes; Kitasatosporales; Streptomycetaceae.
CCUCCCGCAGGGCGGGGGCGGUGGUCGUCCUCGGCUCCCGGCCGGGCGGCCGCGGCCCCCGCGGCCGCUGCUCCGGCCCUCGCGGGAGGGCC